Zunongwangia profunda SM-A87 is the source of this 102-nucleotide non-coding RNA. Lineage: Bacteria; Pseudomonadati; Bacteroidota; Flavobacteriia; Flavobacteriales; Flavobacteriaceae. The record is from Rfam.
UUGUUAUCAAGAAAGGCUGAGGGAAUAGACCCGCAGAAGCCUUAGCAACCCUUUGCAAACAAAGAAGGUGCUACGUUCUACCGAUUUUCGGAUAGAUAACAG